This is a long non-coding RNA of Vicia villosa (hairy vetch), 791 nucleotides long. RefSeq lists it as uncharacterized. The transcript has 2 exons. The record is from RefSeq and is a predicted model, not a curated record. NCBI's taxonomy places the organism in Eukaryota, Viridiplantae, Streptophyta, Magnoliopsida, Fabales, Fabaceae.
UAGUAUUAGAAAUAUUAAUGAGUUAAUAUUUAACGUUUUGGGAAUUUUCCGAGUAAUUAAGAUUUGACCGGAAAUAUGAGACAUUGAGUUAUUAGAGGAUUUUAUCAGUAUUUAUUUUACUAUUUUAUUUGACUUUAUUUGGUGUGUUAAUUAAUUAAUUGAUUGUUAGAUAGUAUAAUAAUUGAUUAUAUUAAUUAACUUGGUGUGUAUAUUUGUGUCUAUUUAAUUAUUGGUGUUAUUUAAUUUAGUAACUAAAAGAGAAAUAAUAUAUAGUAUAUACUUUAUUGGGCUUAUUUAAUGAUGUUAGGAGUAAAUAGGGAGUGUUAUAAUUAGGCCCAUAUUGUGUAGUUGGUAAGGGUUAGAGGUGAGGGAGUGUCACAUUUCCUUUUCAUUUUCUUCUUUCACGGAUAGAGAGGCAGAGAAAGCAUAGAAAGAAAAGAAGGAAAAGAGAAAAGAGAAAGGGGAAGAACAAAGGGGAGCUAAGGUUUGGAGGAGAAAUUAAAGAGGUUCUGGAGUUUAGUAGCUCGUGCAUGAUCUAGCCGGAGAUUCUUCCGUGUUUGUUGGAUAUUAGGCAGUGAGUCGAUGCUCUGGUCAUGUAACACUGGGUAGACUAGUCGUGUUGAACUCAUGUUUCUAUUUGGUUAUGUAUUAUGUUAUGACUUGAGAACCUGUUUAUUUGGCUACUUGUUGUUGAGAGGCUUUUAAGCCAAAUAUUCUGAUUAUGGUUUAUUUUAUGUUGAGAUGAUUAUUGAGAUAUGAUCAUGGUAUGGGACAUGAAUCAUUUUAUGAAA